AGAGGGUUGGGUGAGUGGCUGAAACCAGCAGUUUGCUAAACUGCCGUACGGGUUAAACUGUACCGGGGGUUCGAAUCCCCCACCCUCUGCGA
RNAcentral lists this transfer RNA (92 nucleotides) under Algoriphagus sp. A40. Its description in RNAcentral is "tRNA-Ser". It matches the Rfam family "tRNA". Rfam says of the family: Transfer RNA (tRNA) molecules are approximately 80 nucleotides in length. Their secondary structure includes four short double-helical elements and three loops (D, anti-codon, and T loops). Further hydrogen bonds mediate the characteristic L-shaped molecular structure. tRNAs have two regions of fundamental functional importance: the anti-codon, which is responsible for specific mRNA codon recognition, and the 3' end, to which the tRNAs corresponding amino acid is attached (by aminoacyl-tRNA synthetases). tRNAs cope with the degeneracy of the genetic code in two manners: having more than one tRNA (with a specific anti-codon) for a particular amino acid; and 'wobble' base-pairing, i.e. permitting non-standard base-pairing at the 3rd anti-codon position. The record is from RNAcentral. Lineage: Bacteria; Pseudomonadati; Bacteroidota; Cytophagia; Cytophagales; Cyclobacteriaceae.